RNAcentral lists this ribosomal RNA (497 nucleotides) under uncultured bacterium. Its description in RNAcentral is "partial 16S ribosomal RNA". It matches the Rfam family "Bacterial small subunit ribosomal RNA", at positions 28 to 507 of the family's 1533-position model. The record is from RNAcentral.
GAUGAACGCUGGCGGCGUGCCUAAUACAUGCAAGUCGAGCGAACGGAUGAGGAGCUUGCUCCUCUGACGUUAGCGGCGGACGGGUGAGUAACACGUGGAUAACCUACCUAUAAGACUGGGAUAACUUCGGGAAACCGGAGCUAAUACCGGAUAAUAUAUUGAACCGCAUGGUUCAAUAGUGAAAGACGGUUUUGCUGUCACUUAUAGAUGGAUCCGCGCCGCAUUAGCUAGUUGGUAAGGUAACGGCUUACCAAGGCAACGAUGCGUAGCCGACCUGAGAGGGUGAUCGGCCACACUGGAACUGAGACACGGUCCAGACUCCUACGGGAGGCAGCAGUAGGGAAUCUUCCGCAAUGGGCGAAAGCCUGACGGAGCAACGCCGCGUGAGUGAUGAAGGUCUUCGGAUCGUAAAACUCUGUUACUAGGGAAGAACAAAUGUGUAAGUAACUAUGCACAUCUUGACGGUACCUAAUCAGAAAGCCACGGCUAACUACGUG